GAUGAACGCUGGCGGCGUGCCUAAUACAUGCAAGUCGAGCGAACAGACGAGGCGCUUGCUCCUCUGACGUUAGCGGCGGACGGGUGAGUAACACGUGGAUAACCUACCUAUAAGACUGGGAUAACUUCGGGAAACCGGAGCUAAUACCGGAUAAUAUAUUGAACCGCAUGGUUCAAUAGUGAAAGACGGUUUUGCUGUCACUUAUAGAUGGAUCCGCGCCGCAUUAGCUAGUUGGUAAGGUAACGGCUUACCAAGGCAACGAUGCGUAGCCGACCUGAGAGGGUGAUCGGCCACACUGGAACUGAGACACGGUCCAGACUCCUACGGGAGGCAGCAGUAGGGAAUCUUCCGCAAUGGGCGAAAGCCUGACGGAGCAACGCCGCGUGAGUGAUGAAGGUCUUCGGAUCGUAAAACUCUGUUAUUAGGGAAGAACAAAUGUGUAAGUAACUAUGCACGUCUUGACGGUACCUAAUCAGAAAGCCACGGCUAACUACGUG
Molecule: ribosomal RNA, 497 nt
Filed under: uncultured bacterium
Lineage: Bacteria
Description: partial 16S ribosomal RNA
Rfam family: Bacterial small subunit ribosomal RNA
Source: RNAcentral